AAUCUUUCAUUCAAUUAUAAACGAUCACUGCUGUAAUUCAAACUGGUGAGGCCAAAAUAAUCAAUGUUCGGCUGCCAACGAUAAUUCGAAACGCGACACCUAUGUCUAAAACAUCCGCUUUAAGUGAAAAUUUUCAACGAUUUUAUCACCAACUUUAUUGAGAUUUAUGUAUUCAUUGUGAUAACUGAACCUUACAAUUUUUAAUUAAAAAAAUCUUACAAAUUAAGUUCAAAUAGUAAUGCUCUAUUUUCUUUCACCAGACUAUUUCAUGCGAAUCCAGAAACGAAAAAUUUUUUUAUAAACUUUCGGAACCUUAGCGAUGAAGAGUUGGAUAAGAGUCACCAAUUCAGGGCUCACGUCAUCAAUUUGAUGUCGUCUUUGAACCUGGCGAUCACCAAUCUUCACCAGCCGGAGGUGACCGCCGCGCUGAUGAACAAGCUGGGAGAAUCCCAUGGAAAGAGAGGCAUACGAGGGGAACACUUACUUAGCCUCAAAUAUGUGAUGCUGGAGAUGCUCAAUAGCCUUCUAGGGCUUAACGAGUCGGCACUUGUGUCUUGGAAUAAGACAAUAGAUUUUAUAUACAAACAUAUAUUUCAAACUUUACAUUGAUUUCGCAUUAUAUUUUUUACAAUGUUAAUUUGUUCCAACAAAUAAUAAUAAUUAAG
Molecule: long non-coding RNA, 665 nt
Organism: Danaus plexippus (monarch butterfly)
Lineage: Eukaryota; Metazoa; Arthropoda; Insecta; Lepidoptera; Nymphalidae
Exons: 2
Source: RefSeq, a predicted model, not a curated record